AAGUCAUAACAAGGUUACUGUAGGUGAACCUGCAGUAGGAUCAUUUAUUGAAAAAAUAGGGCUUUUCCCAUUUCUCUGGGGGCCCCGAACCUUCACAUAAUUUCCACACACUUGUUGAAUCGUUGGAGCGUUUUUUUGAAAAAGAGACGCUCUGGCACCCUUUAAUUAUUUACAAACACCGAGUUAAUGGAUGUAGUUGUAAACUUGUCUUUUUGACAGAAACAAAAAUACAAU
Molecule: unclassified non-coding RNA, 234 nt
Filed under: plant metagenome
Description: partial contains small subunit ribosomal RNA and internal transcribed spacer 1
Rfam family: Eukaryotic small subunit ribosomal RNA (bases 1-46)
Source: RNAcentral